Molecule: ribosomal RNA, 253 nt
Filed under: uncultured bacterium
Lineage: Bacteria
Description: partial 16S ribosomal RNA
Rfam family: Bacterial small subunit ribosomal RNA
Source: RNAcentral
UACGUAGGUGGCAAGCGUUGUCCGGAUUUACUGGGCGUAAAGAGCGCGCAGGCGGUCGUUCAAGUCGCGUGUGAAAGCCCCCGGCUCAACUGGGGAGGGUCACGCGAUACUGAUCGACUCGAAGGCAGGAGAGGGAAGUGGAAUUCCCGGUGUAGUGGUGAAAUGCGUAGAUAUCGGGAGGAACACCAGUGGCGAAGGCGGCGACCUGGGCCAAUAUUGACGCUGAGGUGCGAAAGCGUGGGGAGCAAAUAGG